RNAcentral lists this ribosomal RNA (264 nucleotides) under uncultured bacterium. RNAcentral's name for it is "partial 16S ribosomal RNA". It matches the Rfam family "Bacterial small subunit ribosomal RNA", at positions 793 to 1055 of the family's 1533-position model. The record is from RNAcentral.
GUCCAUGCCGUAAACGUUGGGCACUAGGUGUGGGGGACAUUCCACGUUUUCCGCGCCGUAGCUAACGCAUUAAGUGCCCCGCCUGGGGAGUACGGCCGCAAGGCUAAAACUCAAAGGAAUUGACGGGGGCCCGCACAAGCGGCGGAGCAUGCGGAUUAAUUCGAUGCAACGCGAAGAACCUUACCAAGGCUUGACAUGAACCGGAAACGCCUGGAAACAGGUGCCCCACUUGUGGUCGGUUUACAGGUGGUGCAUGGUUGUCGU